RNAcentral lists this unclassified non-coding RNA (2668 nucleotides) under Zea mays. RNAcentral's name for it is "misc RNA Zm00001eb313670". The record is from RNAcentral. Lineage: Eukaryota; Viridiplantae; Streptophyta; Magnoliopsida; Poales; Poaceae.
GCUCUCCUACAAGUUCCUUUCUCGCAUCGAUUUCUCCGGUGAAGAUUGGCCACGGAACAGGGAAAAUUUUUGAACCUUUCGCUUUCCCUCCUCGUUCGUUUCCAGCCUCGGCCUGGCCCUGGCCGUCCGUCCUGCUCUGCUCACACCUGUUUCUUGCCGUCCGCGUCCUCGUCUUGUCCGCCGCCCCCGCGGCUGUCAGUGCCGGCCUGCUCCUUCCCCUCAUUGGGGCUCUCCAGCGCCCGCUUCUCCUCCUCCUCCUCCUCCUCCUCCUCCUCCUCCUCGUUCUCGCCGCCGCCGGCCGCCUUCCCCGCCGCGGCCGGGCCGGAGGCGCUGCCCCGGCGCCGCUUCUCGGCGCGGGCCUUGAGGGCGUCCAGGAGCUCCCGCAUUGCCUCCGCCUUGCCGCUCCUGCGGUUCUUGAUCAGCACCUCGCUCACGUCCGCCGGCGUGAUCUCCGCGGCGUCCACCCACUCCUCGAGCCCGCGCAGGACCGCCGGGUCGCUGAGGCGGUCCAGCUCCUCGUCGCCCUGGAAGCCGAGGUAGUUCCUCAGGAGGAUCUUCAGCGCCUGGAACGAGCAGUAGGACAUGAAGACGUGCAUGUCCAUGCGGCCGGACCGGAGCAGCGCAGGGUCCAGCUUCUCGAUGUGGUUGGUGGUGAACACGAAGAUGCGCUCCGCGCCGCAGCACGACCAGAGCCCGUCCGUGAAGUUGAGCAGGCCGGAGAGCGUGAUGGACCGCCCCGCGCCGGCGCCCCCGUCCUGCUCGAUCGCGCCGUCGAUGCUCGCCCGCGGCUUCGGCCUCGGCGGCGCGCCCGCGCGGUUCGUGAGGUCCACGGAGCAGUCGAUGUCCUCGAUCACGAUGAUGGACUUGGACGUCGUCUUCAUCAGCAGCUUCCGGAGCUCCGCGUUGCUGCUCACCUCGGUCAGCUCCAGGUCGUACACGUCGUAGCCGAGGAAGUUGGCCAUGGCCGCGAUCAUGCUCGAUUUGCCGGUGCCGGGCGGGCCGUACAGGAGGUACCCGCGCUUCCAGGCGCGCCCCGUGCGCUCGUAGAACGCGCUCCCCUCGGCGAAGUCCCGGAGGUCGGCCAUGAUGGCCGCCUUCCGCGCCGGGUCCAUAGCCAGCGUGUCGAACGUGCUCGGGUGCUUGAACGGCACGGGGUCCCACGGCACGCCGCGCGCGUCCAUGCUCCCGCCCCGCGCGUUCGUGUAAAGCAUCCGGUCCUGGCUGCGGCGCCGGAUGUCGACAGCCGCGGCGAUGAUGUGGUCGAGGUACGCCGGGAGCAGCUUGUCCCUGUCGCCGCGCCGGAUGCGGAGCGUGAACCGGCGCUUCUCCUCGGGGAGCGGCCGCCACGAGAAGCCCUGGCCCUGGCGCGGCGCGACCACGUGCUCCCACGUGACGGCCGCCCCCGCGAAGGUGUCGACGACGCGGUCGCUGGCAGCGAGCCCGAAAGUGAAGGAGGAGGCGUUGAGCCGGCGCGACAGGCUGAGGCGCGCCCCCGACGCCGGGGCCGCGGUGCUGCUGAGGUAGAGCUGCACGGCGUCGUAGAUCUCGUUGGUGCUCAUGCCCUCCAUCUCCGUCACGUCGAAGUAGCAGUAGGGGGAGAAAGCCCGCGUGAGCCUGCCCAGCAGCCGCACCACCACCGCCCGUAGCUCCGCCGGGAAUACCGCGUGCACCACCCCCUGUAGGAACGCAAACGCGCCCAUCAGCGACGCCAGCGCCGUCCAGUACUCCUUCAUCUUCCCCCUGCUUCUCCCUCUCCGCCUCCCCCGCUCGGUUCUUCCUGCGACGCUCGCCCUUCCCUGGAAUUGGAUGGGACGCAGAUGCGGCAACGAGGAGAGGCUGGACCUUGGAGGCUUUCUACAUGGGGAGGCGACGCAUUUAUUAUAUAGGAGAAGCGGCAGAAUGGAGAAGGAUUUGGAGGAGGGCGAUUACAAUGAAGAAAGAUGAACACUGGUGACAGUAAUUGGCCAGGACCAGCUAGGCAGGAAGCCUGCAGGCAAGGUCGCUGUCAAUGGAGCUCAGACUCGCUCAGUGAUAGGUGGUCAGACGGAUCUUGGAGAGAGAGACGGAGCGGCAGCAGGAGCCAGGACCCCAGGACCCAGGCCAGGAGGAGGAGGAGAUGGUAUAGAGAAGCAAGCAAGGCGACAGGAACAGCGUACCCAUACCAAGAGAGAUCUCCCGCUCAGAGGGGCCUGCGAGGGAGAUUUGCGAUCGUGCAGUGUGUCAUCAUCGAUAGAAUUCUUGCAUGGCAUGCUGCAGCCAAACUGCCAAUCGUUCUGGCUGAUGGAUAUUUUACCUUGGGCUAUGGUUAGAGACCGACAGUAUGGCCUUUGGACCUUACCCGCUGUUUGUUAAUAAAGUUUUUGAAAACCACAAUUUUUCAAAUACUAGAAUAUAUUUUAGUCGUAACAAUAUUAUAGUUAAAAUACUAGAAUUUUGAAAACUGGGUCCAAACCUAAGGUUAAAAUACUUUUAAAACAACUACAGUAUUGUUUUGAAAAUAUAGAUUUUAGCUAGCUUCCUAAACAUCUUUCUGUAUAUAAUAUUGCAGUAUUUAAGAAUAUUGCGGUAUUUUUUCAAACAGUGGAAAACUUCAAUCCUAAACACCCCUUUAUGUUGCAUUCUGCAUUGUUUGACUGUGGCAGCAGCGUAAGGGAAGGAGUGGACGGAG